RNAcentral lists this ribosomal RNA (492 nucleotides) under uncultured bacterium. RNAcentral describes it as "partial 16S ribosomal RNA". It matches the Rfam family "Bacterial small subunit ribosomal RNA", at positions 29 to 507 of the family's 1533-position model. The record is from RNAcentral.
AUUGAACGCUGGCGGCAUGCUUUACACAUGCAAGUCGAACGGUAACAGGCCUCCGGGUGCUGACGAGUGGCGAACGGGUGAGUAAUGCAUCGGAACGUACCCAGAGGUGGGGGAUAACGCAGCGAAAGCUGUGCUAAUACCGCAUGUGAUCUGAGGAUGAAAGCGGGGGACCGAGCAGCAAUGUUUGGCCUCGCGCCUUUGGAGCGGCCGAUGUCGGAUUAGCUAGUUGGUGGGGUAAAGGCCUACCAAGGCGACGAUCCGUAGCUGGUCUGAGAGGACGACCAGCCACACUGGGACUGAGACACGGCCCAGACUCCUACGGGAGGCAGCAGUGGGGAAUUUUGGACAAUGGGCGCAAGCCUGAUCCAGCAAUGCCGCGUGCGGGAAGAAGGCCUUCGGGUUGUAAACCGCUUUUGGCAGGAACGAAACGGUGUCCGCUAAUACCGGGCGCUAAUGACGGUACCUGCAGAAUAAGCACCGGCUAACUACGUG